Long non-coding RNA from Ornithodoros turicata, 798 nucleotides. RefSeq lists it as uncharacterized. NCBI's taxonomy places the organism in Eukaryota, Metazoa, Arthropoda, Arachnida, Ixodida, Argasidae. The transcript has 3 exons. The record is from RefSeq and is a predicted model, not a curated record.
CAGUGUGGCGGAUAGAAUCGUGGCGGUUACCGAUGUUCCCAAGUUCGCAGCUGCGUCAUUGCUGCAGGUUGCAUCACGUCGUGCAACGAUCGGCGUCUUGGUGGUGGUUGGUUAGGCCGACGCCAUUAUUUUCGAAGCAGUUUGUCAGUUGGCUGUGAUACAUUAAUUGUGACAUCGCUUGCGUUGUAGAAGGCCUGUGUCUAGACUGAUGGGCAGUAUGGACGCAUCGUUUACGUCGUACAACUUUCGCAAGAAGCAACAACUUUGUCAGUACAACUUUGUCAGUCGGGGCAUCCGUGGACAGUUGACAUCCGCCGAUCAGCCAUGAAAAUGCCGACUUAACUGGUGACACUUCGUCCUCCGACUACACUGGGGGGAACAAAGUGAUCUGAAUAUUUCGGUGACCCCGGUCCCUCAAGCUCAAUUGAAGAAGUCCUUAUGUGUUGAAGUACCUCACCCACUAUACAGUGCCCUUCAAGUUCAUCAGACGUUGGUGCUCCUGGUACAGUAUUGCUACCUGCUCUAAAACUGAUUCGUUGUAUUAGCAAGGGAACGGCAUGUUGAGGCACGAAAUUUUUCACCUUAAUUUCUGUUGUUGUUGUAUCUAAUUUGCCAUCUGGGCAGUGCAUUUUGAUUGAAGCAAAAAAAGAAAAAUGUUCUUUUGCAUUGCACAUGUGUUCAACAAGAUCACCUGCAACCUCGAAGUAUUGGUGCUGUACAUGAUCUUUGUGUGUUGUGCACUCUCAAAAAUGAACUUCACCGCAUAGCACGCUUCUAGCCAACCAUCAACUCGAAUGA